AAAAAUUUAGUUAAUAUAUAACAUUAACUUGUCAAGUUAAAUUAAUUAAAAUUAAUAAUUUUUA
RNAcentral lists this transfer RNA (64 nucleotides) under Sclerotia substriata. Its description in RNAcentral is "tRNA-Asp". The record is from RNAcentral. Lineage: Eukaryota; Metazoa; Arthropoda; Insecta; Coleoptera; Lampyridae.